Molecule: long non-coding RNA, 517 nt
Filed under: Brassica napus (rape)
Lineage: Eukaryota; Viridiplantae; Streptophyta; Magnoliopsida; Brassicales; Brassicaceae
Description: long non-coding RNA (BNAP_LNC026486)
Source: RNAcentral
AUGGAAGGGUAGACAAAACGAAAUCAUUCAAUCGCGGAGCCGUCCUCGAGCUAUAGAAGUCAGAUCACUAAAAACCAUAUCUUGAAAACUAAGACGAGAAGGGAUUAUCGAUGGUAAGCCAACGACGAGGAAAACAACUUCAAAGACGACUAAACUCUGACCCAACCCAAGGAGAUGCAGUUCCUAACAUGAGCCGAAAUCUAAGGAAAAAGAGGAGAAAAAGGUGAGGAAAAACAAGAGGACAUAUGUGAGUCUUUUUCGGUGAUGGCGAGAAUCACAGCAUAACGGAAAAGGUAAACGAAAUGCAUAGAUGGUGACGGCUCAAUGUAAAAAUAUAGGGAGAGAGCACAAAACAUCUUUAAAAGGUAAUGUUCAAAUAAUUAGAAAAAAUAUAAAUUUUUACCCUGAAACUAUUAGCUUUAAAUUCAACAAAUGCCUAAAUAUAAAAUUAUUGAAAUUCAAUAUGCAUUACAUCACAAACUCACUCCACCACUAAUAAGGUACUAUUAUACCCACA